UGGUUCUAAUGAAAAUGGUACAUGCAUACAUUCCACGGUCCAAAUGAAAAACAUGACACAUGCCACAUGCCACGGUCCAAAUGAAAAAUACAAGAUGUUCGGUCAACGAAAGUCAACGGCUUAUCACAACAUAAACACACGUUUGAUCGGCGAAUGCUCCAAGCAUGUUUGCGGGCUGCACAGAGUGGAGGAGACUUGUGGCAGCAAAGCGUGGUCGCCCGUCUUCCGCGAGAUCAGGUCCCUAUAAUAAAACAGAUGAAUUGGUCCAAGGGUUAGAUGCGGAAAAACAAUGAACAAAUGGAUGCAUAAGAAGCUAGCUCCAUAAUUUCCUUGCUUAAAUAAUGAGAAACUACAAACAGAAUUUCAUUGCUUAGAUGUUUAACAAAUUUUCAUAUUGUAUUAUAUAAUCUGAGCAUGGAAGAUAGUACUAGCAGACUAGACUAGACGACACAUAUAAGGCUGGUCAUAGUGAGAGCAACUUAUGUAGUAACAUAACGCAUUUCAAGAAAACUUUGCUUAUGUGGCAUGUAGUUAAUGAUGAAAGAGGUGUUUAGAGUAACAUAAUAUGUUACUGUAACAUAGCGCUUCCCGAGAAAGGAUGAGUCUACAAGCUAAUAAAUGAAUCCAUCUAUGACACUACUAAUAUGUUACUUUGCACUAUGAAAGUAGUAACUUAAACCAGUGUCAUAUGCAUGACACUAGUAUAUGUUACUCCCCACUAUGACCAGCUUAAUUAGAGUAGAGAACCAAUGUUGCCAUAAAUGAGAACCAAUGUUCCCAUAAAUUAAACUAGAGCCAUAUAGACUAGAUGUCAGAUAUAACUUUUCUGCCAACAAUGGAAUCAGGAAUGCAUACGCUUCGCCAGUCCAGGGUCCAUAUAUAUGUAUGCACAGAUUCGAAAAUGAGAAGGCUCAAGCUUGGAAAAAAGACUUGAAGUUACAGGGAACAGUCUCAACCUGAAGACAAAAGAGGUGAUAAAUGAAAUAUGAUUAUAGGUAGCAAAAGAUUCAUCAGCAGUUCCCCAAGCACCGAAAUGGCAUGUAAUUAAUGCUACGAGAGCCAAUUUCAUCUACUGCAAGAACAAGCAAGGAUGAAUACAGGGCUUAAGCUGGACAUAUGACAAGGAUGAGGCCACCAUACUCAAUCGUAGACAUAGCAAAACAAGGUAUAAAUUUGUGCCACCAGCAGGCACAUGACAAGGAUUAGGACACAUGACUUACACACCUAUCAUCUCCCAGCAGGUAUUUUCGGAAUGAGACUAGAUGAGAUGAUAUAUACCACAGCCUGCCCAGUACAAGCCUUGACAAACGGUGGCACAUGACGGACCUAGCAAAUCAGUGUCAUUCUUCUCAAUAGAAAUGGGCAAUCGAUCAGUAGCAUAAGAAAUGGAUACGUAGGGACGGAUGAAAGGAUCAGAACAGGGUAUUGUUGUGUGCCAGGGGCCUGACUACUUAGCUGCUUAGACCUCCGAUGAAAUGAGUCGCCUCGCCUCUCCGGAAGAUCAUAGAUGACAUUUAAUAAAACAGCAGGGGCGUGCAGUUCAGUUUGUCAAAUAACCAAAGCCUUUUAAACAGAAAUGAUAUACUGACAAAGAAAGAAAUUCAGUUGUUAUAUUCAGUUUGUCAACAUUAGAAGACCAAUUAUAUGUUCAGCUCACUUAGUUGUUAUAAGAUCAGUGGCAAACAAAGAAAUAUAUUCAGCUCACUUAGUUGUCACCAUCAGACCAAAUUCAUCAAGCACAACACAUACAAAAGAUCAAAUAUAACUACGCUUAAUAUGAUUCGUCACAAAUUCAGAGUAGCAUAUAUUGUUCCAUUAACAGAUCAAGCAGCACCAGAGAAACAUCCUCGUACAACCAACCACGACUACGCACUAAUCAUCAUCCAUCCAUCCAACGAUUCCCAACAUCCACAUCAGACCAUGAAAUUGAUCAACCGCGUGAUCAACAGUGGUCACCAGGAGGGGGGCGAACUUGGCUAACUUGGUGACGGGCAGUUUGGACCGGCAGCUCAGAGACGGCGUCGCCGGGGAGAGACGAGGUAGCAGCCAUGGCCGGGCGGAUAGAAAACCCUAGACGACGAGGGGAGGAGAGGGGAGACGAGGCGAGGACUUAC
This 2114-nucleotide long non-coding RNA is filed under the name Triticum aestivum (bread wheat). Its description in RNAcentral is "long non-coding RNA (TAES_LNC017649)". Lineage: Eukaryota; Viridiplantae; Streptophyta; Magnoliopsida; Poales; Poaceae. The record is from RNAcentral.